AGGUCAAGUGAAGAAGGGCGCACGGUGAAUGCCUUGGCACUGGAAGCCGAUGAAGGACGCGACUAACCGCGAAAGUCUUCGGGGAGCCGUAAGUAGGCUUUGAUCCGGAGGUCUCCGAAUGGGGGAACCCAGCAUGUGCAGACAUGCUAUCCUUAAGUGAAUACAUAGCUUAAGGAGGGAACACGCAGUGAACUGAAACAUCUAAGUAGCUGCAGGAAGAGAAAGAAAUAUCGAUUUCCCAAG
This 243-nucleotide ribosomal RNA is filed under the name Lactobacillus delbrueckii subsp. bulgaricus. RNAcentral's name for it is "partial 23S ribosomal RNA". It matches the Rfam family "Bacterial large subunit ribosomal RNA", at positions 1 to 243 of the family's 2925-position model. Lineage: Bacteria; Bacillati; Bacillota; Bacilli; Lactobacillales; Lactobacillaceae. The record is from RNAcentral.